GUUGCCUUACACACUAUGCAAGCUUUGCUGUUUGCAGUAAAACUGGCUGCUGCUUGCUCUUUGGGUCCACACUGACUUUAUGAGCUGUAGCACUCACCAUGAAGGUUUGUAGCUUUACUCUUGAAGCCAGUGAGAUUAAAAACCCACCGGGAGGAACAAACAACUCCAGUACGCGCCGCCUUAGGAGCUGUAACACUCACGGCGAAGGUCUGCAGCUUCACUCCUGAGCCAGCCGCACCACGAACCUAUCAGAAGGAAGAAACUCCGAACACAUCCGAACGUCAGGAACAAACUCCGGCCACGCCGCCUUUAAGAACUGUAGAACUCGCUACAGCACUCACCGUGAAGGUCUGCGAUUUCAUUCUUGAAGUCAGUGAGACCAAGAACCCACCAAGUCCGGACACAAUGGGACCUGUAUGCAGUCUAUGGGGCAGUUCAGACCAAAGGGCUGGGCGUGGCACCACAGCUGCCCCGAGCCCUUGGCCUCUCUGAGCUUUUCUCUCUCACCUGAGAAAUGGGAUUUCAAGGAAAAUGAGUAGCGGUAACUUACCCACCUUACUCCACGGUUACUGUGAAGCGCCCAGAAGAGAAGCCAUGGAUGUGGGCGACGCAUUCGAGAGCACAGCGCUGGGCUCCAGCCCUGAUGCAGAGGUACAAAGCUCGUCUGGGCAGAUUGUUAUGCAAAUCAAAAGAGGAAGCAGAGCUAGGGGAGCCGAGGAGCUCCUGCUGGGCUCUGCCAGGGAAGAAGCCGCAGUAGGAGCCCCUACGUAGGCCCUGCAAGAGGCCUGGCGUUCAGGAAAGGGCCCGCUGACCAUCCAGUGCAGGGAAAGGAGUCCAGCUCUGGCCUCUGCCCCUCAGCUCCACCUCCUGCAUUCCUAGGAGUUCUCCAGAGGAUCUGAUGGGAGCUCAGAACCGGUCCCAACAGCUCCCUCCACCCUUCAUGAACGGGGGCUGGAAAAUGUGGUCUGCUCUGAUAAGGAUUUGCGUCAGGCUACUGGCUACUCAGCAGCCGAGAAGAGCAAGCCUCCAGGCCUCUGCACGCGUGCCUUCUGCCCGGUGAGCCUCUCACUAUCGUCCUUCUAAAAGACACUUCAAAAAGAGGCAAAAUCAUGCCUUCCAUACAUAUAUUAAAAAAAGAAUAUGUGUCAAAUAUUUUAUUCUACUCCUAAACCAAUUUAAGGAAACCAGGCAGAUGUUACAACUGGUUCAAAUGAAAUCCUAAGAACAGACACAUUUAAUAAUCAGGAAUAUGGAAAAGAACAUGCAAAUGGGAGCUGGGCACAGCGGCUCAUGCCUGUAAUUCCAGCACUUUGGGAGGCCGAGGUGGGUGGAUCACCUGAGGUCAGGAGUUCGAGACCAGCCUGGCCAACAUGGUAAAACCCCGUCUCCACCAAAAAAAAAAAAAAAAAAAAAAAAAUUAGCUGGGCAUGGUGGCACAUGCCUGUAAUCCCAGCUACUCAGUAGGCUGAGGCAGGAGAAUCGCUUGAGCCUGGGAGGUGGAGGUUGCAGUGAGCCAAGAUUGCACUAUUGCAUUCCAGCCUAGGCAACAAAAGCAAAACUCCAUCUCAAAAAACAACAACAACAACAACAAAAACACGCAAAUGGGGGCAAAGCUAGGGAGGGGAGAGUCAACUGGUCUCCUACUGGAGUUUGGAAUCUGCAGGUCUGUAGAGAAGCAAAAUUUUGCAUUGCUAUCACUAACCUACAAGUUAAAGAGUUGUAAGUAGUCUUCAUAGAAUGGAGUCAGAUAAUCCAAGGGAGGUCCUGGAGAGUCUAGAUAAUGCACAGUUUUUCAAAGAUGUACAACUGUUUUCAAAGAUGUACAAAUAUGUACAACUCUGACCACUGAUGUCCUUCACCUGGCCAACUUAACCCACACCUCCUCCAGGAAGCCAUCCCUGAUGCCCAAGACUGGGUUAAGUGCCAGCCCCUGGGCUCCCUCAGUGCCUUGAAUUUCUGAUCACACUGUUCCGUCUCCCUCAUCAGAUCUAUGAGAUUUUUUUUUUUUUUAAGACAGAGUCUCACUGUGUCACCCAGGCUGGAGUGCAGUGGCACAGUCAUAGCUCACUACAGCCUCAAACUCCUGGGCUCAAGGGAUCUUUAGCCUCCCCAGUAGCUGGGACUACAAGUGUAUGCCACCAUGCCCAGCUAAUUUUUAAGUUGUCAAGACAAGGUCUUGCUUUGUUACCCAGGCUGGUCUCGAACUCCUGGGCUCAAGCAAUUUGCCUGCCUCGGCCUCCCAAAGUGCUGGGAUUACAGGUGUGAGCCACUGUGCCUGGCCUGAUCUAUGAGAUCCUUAAAACAGAAGCUGUGUCUUACCCACCUCUCACUGUGCCUUUGAGAAUCAAGGGACACGUGGUUGAAUGAAUGAAUGAAUGAAUGAGAGAAAAAAUGAACAAUACAGGGUCCUAAGCCAAAGUGGUCCACAGGGCCCCCAUAAACCCGUAAAAGACUGACGAGACAGCUGUUGAAGGUCUGCAUGUGUACCUGUGAACACAGACAGGCUUCAAUCUCAAUCUUAAUAAGGGCUCCUCAGAAAUGAAGCUCAGGAAGCAAACAAACAUGGGAAAUGAUGGCUAAACACAAACAGGUGGGUUUUGCUUUUAUUUCCUUUUAACCAUAGGACUCCUGAGUCCUUGUAAUAUAUAGUAAAGAGUCUUGCUCUGUUGCCCAGGCUGGAGUGCAGUGGCACAAUCACAGCUCACUGCAGCCUCGAACUCCUGGGCUCGAGCCAUCCUCCUGCUUCAGGCUCCUGAGUAGCUGCGACUACAGGUGUGCACCACCACACCCAGCUAAUUUUUAAAAAAUUCUUUUAAGAGACAAGAUCUCACUAUGUUGCCCAAGCUGGUCUCAAACUCCUGGGCACAAGCAAUCCUCCCACCUCAGCCUCCCGAGUAGCUGGGACCACAGACACACGCCACCAUGCCUGGCUAAUUUUUGUAUUUUUUGUUGAGACAGGGUCUCUCUAUGUUGCACAGGCUAGUCUCGAACUCCUGGGUUCAAGCGAUCCUCCUGCCUCAUCCUCCCAAAGUGCCGGGAUUACAGGCGUGAGCCACUGUGCCCAGGCUAACAGCCUUUAAUAUAUUAAAGUACCCCAGGAGGGAGAAUGCAAUGUUUCCAUGUUUUCCUUAUCUGACUAUAAAACAAUUUUUUUAAUGGACCAGAGACGAUGGAUUCAUGGAGUUACUGUGAGGAAGACACUCAGCAUCGUGCCUGGUAUCGUGUGUGCUUCAUAAACGCCAGCCAUAGCAUGAUUCUUUAUAAAGGCACCAGCUGCAUUUAUGGAGUAAAUGCCUUUCUUGUGUCAUCUCGCUUGACUGGCAAAGCCAUAAGGCCAGGUGAGGAAGAUGAGGCAGGGGAUGAAGAGGAUAUAACACGUAGGAGGUGAAGUCACUAACCCAAAUCCUUGCAGCCGGCAAGUGGUCAGAAUUCUUGGACCAGGUGUGAGGCCUUAAGAGAACAAGCUAGCCCAGGGCUUGGCAUGAAGUAGGUGCUUAAUAAAGAUUGGUUUUAGCCAGGCGCAGUGGCUCAUGCCUGUAAUCUCAGCACUUUGGGAGGCUGAAGCAGGAGGAUCACUUGAGCCCAGGAGUUCCAGACCAGCCUGGGCAACACGGCUAAUCCCUGUCUCUACUAAAAAUACAAAAAGAUUAGUCGGGUGUGGUGGCGCGUGCCUGUAAUCCCAGCUACUCGGGAGGCUGAGGCAGGAGAAUAGCUUGAACCUGGGAGGUAGACUUUGCAAUGAGCCAAGAUCGCACCACUGCACUCCAGCCGGGGCAACAGAGCAAGACUGUCUCAAAAAAAAAAAAAAAAAAAAAAAAAAAAAGACUGGUUUCUACCAUGCCUCCCUCCUCCCUCCUUCCCAUUCAGCCCAGAGGUUCUGGCAGGGCAGACAGAGCUCCAGGCCAAGGACCCCCAGGUGGAUGUACAGAGCAGACCCAGGCUGAGCCCAAUCUUUCCACCCUGCAGUUCAGCUCCUCCCUCCCCUUUCUCUUCCCAGUCUUCCUGAACCUGCACCUGGCCUCUCUGCACACCCCCGCGUUAUUUGGGGAUGUAAGAACUCAGGGUUCCCUCCCUUAUUACUUCUCCUUGUCCAUCCUGGUGAUAGUGCUUGACUCUCAACACACAAAAGGGGCUUUAAAAUGAUCCUUUGAAAAAAUAAUUUUUUUGCUGGGCACAGUGGCUCACGCCUGUAAUCCCAGCUCUUUGGGAGGCCAAGACAGGCGGAUCACCUGAGGUUGGGAGUUCAAGACCAGCCUGAUCAACAUGGAGAAACCCCGUCUCUACUAAAAAUACAAAAUUAGCUGAGCGUGGUGGUGCAGCUCUUCGGGAGGCUGAGGCAGGAGAAUCGCUUGAACCCAGGAGGCGGAGGUUGCAGUGAGCCGAGAUCAUGCCAUUGUACUCCAGCCUGGGCAACAAGAGUGAAACUCUGUCUCAAAAAAAAAAAAAAAAAAGAAAGAAAAAAAAGAAAAAAUAAUUCUUUAAAACUCUUUUUUAGAGACAGGGUCUCACUCCAUCACCCAGGCUGGAUGUCAUCAUAGUUCACUGUAACCUUGAACUUCUGGGCUCAAGCAAUUCUCCAGCCUCAGACUCCUGAGUAGCUGGGACCACAGGCGCAUACCACCACGCCUGGCUAAAACUGGUUCCUUUUUUUUUUUUUUGAGACAGUGCCUUGUCCUGUCCCCCGGGCUGCAGUGCAAUGGCACAAACACUGCCCACUGCAGCCUUGACCUCCUGGGCUCAAGCGAUCUUCCCCUACAGCCUCCUGAGUAGCUGGCACCACAGGCACGUGCCACCAUGCCUGGCCAAAUUUUUUUUUUUUUUUUGUAGGGAUGGAGUCUCACUAUGUUGCCCAAGCUGGUCUCAAUCUCCUGGGCUCAAGCCAUCCUCCUGCCUUGGCCUCCCAAAGUGCUGGGAUUAAAGGCAUGAGCCACCGUGCCCAGCCUAAAAAUGGUCUUGAUUCAAUGAGUGAGUAAAUGAAGCCUGUGCCCAGGGCCUGCCAGGCCCCCUGGGGCUGCCCACAGGGUAAACACAGACCCACACGGAGCCCCACUCCAGGCCUGGUCGAAAAAAAUGCUGCUCCAGCUGAAGGCUUUCUCAGAGAAAUGACUCAGCCUGAGCACUCAGAUGCAACUUCCACGUUUUAUGGACUGAAGGUGCUUUCAUAACAGCUGGUGAUGAUGAGCCAGAGGCGGGCUAUAAACAGAGCGGUGAUCUGGUCCUGAACACUCAGGUCUCAGCCCCCACCCACAAGCAGGGCCUCUGAGGCUGUGGCUUCUCCACACUGGUGCUGCUUUGUGCUGGCAAAUAGCACAGGCCCCCAAAAUGACCUGGAGGCUCCUUAACUGAGGAGGCAGAUGAGUGACAGGGCCAGACCUGCAGCCUCAAGGGCCUGGCUGUGCCCUCCCUAGCUCCCUUGGGCCUGGGAGCCUUCCAUGAACCUGUGGCCUGGGACCAAGAGCAUGGGGGGCCUAGUGAUGUGCCUGGUGGGGAGCGGGGAGUGCUGCCAGCAAUGACAGUCCCGCUGGGGGGACGUGGUACAGACUCACUGAGACACAGAACCCUGUGAGCAAGGGGGGUUCACUUAAUCCUCCCUGAGGACUCAGACAGGUGGGCUGCAGGCAGUGGGGUAGCCUUGCCUCUCACUCAUGCCCACCCACCCAUUUGCUCAUUCAUUCAGACAAGCGUGGAUUGAGUAUUUUCUUUUUUUUUCUUUUAAAGACAGGGUUUUGCUCUGUCGCUCAGGCUGAAGUGCAGUGGCAUGAUCUCAGCUCACUACAGCCUCAUCCUCCCAGGCUCAACCGAUCCUCCUGCCUCGGCCUCUCAAAGUAUUGGGAUUACAGGCGUGGCCCACGCCUGGUGAAUUGAGCACUUUCUUUCUUUUUCUUUUUUUUUUUUUUUUUUUUGAGAUGGAGUCUCACUCUGUCAUCCAGGCUGGAGUGCAGUGGCAUGACCUCGGCUCACUGCAACUUCUGCCUCCCGGGUUCAAGUGAUUCUCCUGCCUCAGUCUCCCAAGUAGCUGGGAUUACAGGCACCCACCACCACGCCCGGCUAGUUUUGUAUUUUUAGUAGAGAUGGGGUUUUACCAUGUUGGCCAGGCUGUUCUUGAACUCCUGACCUCAGGUGAUCCAUCCGCCUCGGCCUCCCAAAGUGUUAGGAUUACAGGCGUGGGCCACUGCGCCUGGCAAAUUGAGCACUUUCUUUUUUUUUUUUUGAGACCGGGUCUUGCUCUGUCACCAGGCUGGAGUGCAGUGGCCCAAUCUCAGCUCACUGCAACCUCCACCUCCCAGGUUCAAGCGAUUAUCCUGCCUCAGCCUCCAAGUAGCUGGGAUUACAGGCACGCGCCAUCACGCCCGGCUAAUUUUUUGUAUUUUAGUAGAGACAGGGUUUCACCGUGUUAGCCAAGAUGGUCUCGAUCUCCUAACCUCAUGAUCCACCCACCUUGGCCUCCCAAAGUGCUGGGAUUACAGAUGUGAGCCACCGUGCCCUGCCAAAUCGAGCACUUUCUAAGUGCCCACCUGUCAGCGUCACCCCAGGCUUUCCCAUCUCAGCCCGUGGCUCCACUCUCCUCUAGCUACUUUGGCCAAAAACCACAGAGUCAUCUUGGAUCCCAAUUUUUGCUUCACCCCCACAUCCAAUCUUUCGGCGAGUCCCGUCUGCUUUACCUCGGCACAUCAUCAGUGCGCUCAGUGCACUUCCCAGCCACCUCCCACGCUGGGCUGCUAACCUUCUGCCAGGUCACCAUAGCUACCACCAGCUCCUCCUGACCCUUUGGCCUUGGUCUCUAAAACCCAUUCUCCUCUCAUCAGAGUGACCUCAUCCCAGCAUCAUUCUGACCAUUUCUCAUCUUAAAGUCCUCAAAAGGGUCCUAUCAGAUAUUAACAAUUUUUAAAGAAAUUAAGACAGAAUGGCUUUGGCAUCUGGCUAUUAAAAAAAAAGGGUAGGGGGGGCCGAGUGCGGUGGCUCAUGCUUGUAAACCCAGAACUUUGGGAGGCCAAGGUGGGAGGGUCCCUUGAGCCCAGGAGUUCGAGACCAGCCUGGGCAACACAGAGAGACCCUGUCUUUACAAAAACAAAAUUAGCUGGGUGUGGCGGCACAUGCCUGUAGUCCUAGCUACUUGGGAGACUGAGGUGGCAGGAUCACUUGAGCCUGGGAGGUUGAGGCCGCGGUGAGCUGAGAUCAUGCCACUGCACUCCGGCCUGGGUGACAGAGUGAGAGCCCAUUUAAAAAUGAAAAAUAAAGGGAAAAAAAAGGACAGAACAGGAGUCCCGGAGACAGAACCUUGCAUAAAUGAGAAUUUGCCGUAUGACAGAGAAGCAUCACCAACCAGUGGGGAAAAGAUAGACUCUUUUAUAAAUGGCGUUGGGACAAGUGGUGAUCCAUAUGGGAAAGUAAAAUUAGAUCCCCACCUAACACCACACACACAACUCCAGGUGGAUUCAGGACUUACAUGUGAAUAACAAAAUUUUAACACAUUUAGAAGAAAAUAUAGAAGAAUAUUUUUAUGACCUCAGGGUAAGGAACAAUUUCUUUUUUAAAUAAACUUUUUGUUUGAUUACAACAUGCAUAGUGUACAAGUCAUAAGGGUGCCGCUUGAUGAAAUUUCACAGUGACCCCAGCUGUGUAGCCAGCAUCCAGAUCAACAAGCGGGAUGUAAGGCCAGGCACGGUGGCUCACUCCUGUAAUCCCAACACUUUGGGAGGCCGAGGAGGGCGGAUCAGAAGGUCAGGAGUUUGAGACCAGCCUGGCCAAUAUGGUGAAACCCCGUCUCAACUAAAAAUACAAAAAUUAGCCCGGCAUGGUGGCACACACCUGUAGUCCCAGCUACUUGGGAGGCUGUGGCAGAAGAAUCGCUUGAACCCUGGAGGCGGAGUUUGCAGUAACCCGAGAUCGUGCCACUGCACUCCAGCCUGGCGAAAGGGCGAGAAUCCGUCUAAAAAAAAUAAAAAUAAAAAACACAACAACAAAUGGGACAUAGCCAGUGCCUUCCAAAGCCCCCACGUGCCUCUUUUUUUCUUUCUUUUUUUUUUUUGUUUGAGACGGAGUCUUGCUCUGUUGCCCAGGCUGGAGUGCAGUGGCAUGAUCUCGGCUCACUGAAACCUCCGCCUCCUGGAUUCAAGCAACUCUCCUGCCUCAGCCUCCUGAGUAGCUGGGACUACAGGCACACACCACCAUUCCUGGCUAAUUCUUUUUUUAUUUUUAGUAGAGACGGGGUUUCACCAGUUGGCCAGGAUGGUCUCGAUCUCCUGACCUCAUGAUCCACCCGCCUCAGCCUCCCAAAAUGCUGGGAUUGCAGGUGUGAGCCACCACACUCAGCCUUCUUUUUUUUUUUUUUUUUUUUUUUUUGAGACGGAGUUUUGCUCUUGUUGCCCAGGUUGGAGUGCAAUGGCACGGUCUCGGCUCACCGCAGCCUCCCCUUCCUGGGUUCAAGUGAUUCUCCUGCCUCAGCCUCCCCAGUAGCUGGGAUUACAGGCAUCCGCCACCACACUCGGCUAAUUUUUUUUUUUUUUCUUUAGUAGAGACAGGGUUUCUCCAUGUUGGUCAGGCUGGUCUCAAACUCCCGAUGCCAGGUGAUCCUCCCGCCUCAGCCUCCCAUAGUGUUGGGAUUACAGGCGUGAGCCACCGUGCCCAGCCUUUUUUUUCUUUUCUUUUCUUUUUUUUGAGAUGGAGUCUCACUCUGUUGCCCAGGCUGGAGUGCAAUGCAAUGGCGUGAUCUCAGCUCACUACAACCUCUACCUCCCGGAUUCAAGCGAUUCUCCUGUCUCAGUCUCCCAAGUAGCUGGGAUUACAGGUGUGUUCUACCACGCCCAGAUAAUUUUUGUAUUUUUAGUAGAGACAGGGUUUCACCAUGUUGGCCAGGCUGGUCUUGAACUCCUGACAUCAAGUGAUCCACCUGCCUCAGCCUCCCAGAGUGCUGAGAUUACAGGUGUGAGCCACGGCACCCAGCUCCUCAUGCCUUUUGACAGGAAAGAGUAUCUUAGGCACAAAAGGUAUCAGCUACAAUGGAAAAAAAUUGAUGAGUCUGAUGAUAUUGACAUUUAAAUCUUAAGUUCAACAAAAAAAAAUGCCACAAGAUUAAAGGAUACGUACAGCUGAGCACCAUGACUCGUAUCUGUAAUCCCAGCAUUUUGGGAGACUGAGGCAGGCAGAUUACUUGAGCUGAGGAGUUUGAGACCAGCCUGGGCAACAUGGCAAAACUCUGUCUCUACAAAAAAUACAAAAAUUAGCCAGGUGUGGUGGCGUAUGCCUGUAGUCCCAGUUACUUGGAAGGCUGAGGUGGGAGAAUCACUGGAACCUGGGAGGCAGAGGUUGCAGUGAGCUGAGACUGGGCCACUGCACUCCAGCCUGAGUGACAGAGCAAGACCCUGUCUCAAAAAUAAAUAAAUAAAUAAAUAAAUAAAUAAAUAAAUAACAGAUAUGCACAAUAUGGAGGAAAUAUCUGCAAUAUAAUCAGCAAAUUGGUAUCCAGAAUAUGUAAAGGUCUUCUGCAAAUCAAGAAGAGAGACAACCAACCCAACAGAAAAUUUGGCACAGGUUAUGAACCUUAUAGGAAAAAAAAGCCUAGAUGGCCAAUAAUCAUAUGAAAAAGAGGCUCUGGGCUGGGCAUGGUGGUUCAUGUCAAUAAUCCCAGCAAUUUGGGAGGCCAAGGUGGGAGGAUCACUUGAGUCCAGGAGCUGGAGAACAGACUGGGCAGCAAAGUGAGACCUCGUCUCUACAGAAAACAAAAUAAUUAGCCGGGCAUGAUGGUGCAUGCCUGUAGUCCCAGCUACUCUGGAGGCUAAAGCAGGGGGAUGGAUUGAAUCCAGCAGAUGGAGGCUACAGUGACCUAUGAUCAUGCCACUGCAUUCCAGCUUGGGCAGCAGAGUGAGACCCUGCCUCAAAAACAGAAAAAGUCUCUGUCUCAAUAGUAUCAGAGACAUGUAAAUUUUUUUUUGAGAUAGUCUCACCCUGUUGCCCAGGCUGGAGUGUACUGGUGCAGUCUCAGCUCACUGCAACCUCCACCUCCUGGGUUCAAGCAAUUCUCCUGCCUCAGCCUCCCAAGUAGCUGGGAUUACAGGUGUGCACCACCACGCCUGGCUAAUUUUUGUAUUUUUAGUAGAGACGAGGUUUUGCCAUGUUGGCCAGGCUGGUCUCGAACUCCUGACCUCAAGUGAUCCACCCACAUUAGCCUCCCAAAGUGCUGGGAUUACAGGCGUGAGCCACUGCGCCUGGCUGAGAAAGGUAAAUUAAAACAACAAGGAGAUAUUAUGUCUCACCCAUCAGAUAAUUUAAAAUGGAAGAAAACAUAAAAGCUGAUAUUAUUAAAUGUAGACCCAAAUGAGACUCCUUAAAAACACCAGCUCUGGGCUGGGCGCGGCGGCUCAUGCCUGUAAUCCCAACACUUUGGGAGGCCGAUAUGGGUGGAUCACGAGGUCAGGAGAUGGAGACCAUCCUGGCUAACACCGUGAAACCACAUCUCUCCUAAAACUACAAAAAAUUAGCCCAGCAUGGUGGCACGCACCUGUAGUCCCAGCUACUCGGGAGGCUGAGGCAGGAGAAUCACUUAAACCGCAGAGGCAGAGGUUGCAGUGAGCCAAAAUCACAUCAUUGCACUCCAGGCUGGGCAAAAGAGCAAGACUUCGUCUCAAACAAACAGACAAACAAAUAAAAACCCACCAGCUCUGGAGAAGAUUGGUAAAGCCACUUGGAAGUGACACAAAAUGGCAGCUUGAAGGUCAGGUCAAGAUCAGGGUGAAGGUGAGAACAUCUGUGAGCAUUCCUCUUCCAGGCAGAGACUCUACAGAAGCUCUAUGAGCAUCCCAGGAGGAAGAAAUUGGAAACGUCAUCAAGGAGAUACACAAGGUAUGAUACACUCAUACAAUGGAAAAUGGCCGGACAAAUGAAAGAAACAACAUCAAAGUGAAUUAUCAUAAGAUACACCAAGCAGGGCCAGGGUGGGGCCAGGUCCACCUCUCCUGUUGCCCAAUCUUGAAGGUGGCAGAGGACCUUUGAGGCACCUUGCUGGCCCACUGAGGAGCUGUGGCCGAGGCACACGCCCAUCAGGGCUGACUCCUUGCUGGGAACUGGGUCAGGUGGAUGGACGUGGUGACGAGCAACAGUGAGGUUUCCCCCACAUCCUUUCACCUGCCCUGCUGCGUCUGCUGCUGAGUCAGGAUCCAUCUGGGGAGCCACCGUGGGACACUCUCCCCUAUGGGAGAGUGGUAAGGUUCUGGAGUAACACAUGGGACUGGAAAUGUUUCUGUGGCCAUUUUUAUUUUUAUUUAUUUUUUUAAGACAGAGUCUUGCUCUGUUGCUCAGGCUGGAGUGCAGUACUGUGAUCUCAGCUCACUGCAACCUCUGCCUGUGGGAGUUCAAGCAAUUCUUCUGUCUCAGCCUCCCAAGUAGCUGGGAUUACAAGCACCCACCACCACGCCUGGCUAAUUUGUGUAUUUUUAGUAGAGAUGGGGUUUCACCAUGUUGGCUAGUCUGGUGUCAAACUCCCGACCUCAGGUGAUCUGCCCAUCUGAGACUCCCAAAGUGCUGGGAUUACAGAGCUGAGUGACAGAGUGAGACUCUGUCAAAAAAAAAAAAAAAAAAAAAGAAAGGAAGGAAGAGAAAUAGAAAGAAAGAAAGAAAAAGAAAGAAAGAAAGAAAAGAAAGAAAGAAAAGCUGGAAUGAGUCAGGGCAGAAUCAUAGAAUGUCUGGGUGUGAAUCCUGGCUUCCCUCCUUUCCAGUGAAGCAACCUUGGGCGAGUGGCUUGACCACUCUGUGCCUGUUUCCUCACCUGUAGCAGUUAGGAAUGCAUUUGGCUGCAGGUAACUGCAGAGCUCCAACCUCCCGCAAAACAGCAGCUUUGUUCAUUUCAUCUUGAAAAGCUCAGCCAUGUGCGGUUGCUGGUUUUGGUUCAGGAGGUCAGAGAGAGGAUUCAUCAUCUUUGUCUUUUUUCUUAGAAAAACCUGUUUACCUGAAGACUUCCCCUCAAUGUCACUGCCAAAGGGAAGCCUUGCAACCAGGCUGCCGGUUGCACGGAUCCAACAUUUGCUCUGUGGGUCUCAGCCUGGGUCAAACUCACACCUCUAAGGGAUGUUUGGAAAUGUGUGGAGUCAUUUUGGGUUGUCACAAUGAUUUAGCUGCAAUGCAUAGAACAGUCUUAUAUGAAGAAUUGUCCUGCCCUAGAAGAAAAAAAAAUGUCCCACCCAAAUGCCAAAAUGUCUGUGCCCCACUGAAAAGCUCCAGCCUCCGUAAGUGGAGGCAGUGAGUAGGGAAGGGCUGAGACAGAUGCAGGUCAGGCACCAGCCCUCACUCCUGCCACAUCCAGCUUGUAGGGCUGUGCCAGGGAGCAUGGGGAUGUGCCCAGGCCAGCGCCUGGCAUGAGCACAUGUUGGGGUCCCCAAGGCGUGCCUAAGGGGCGCUUUGGCCAGAGCACUGUGGCAAGGUCUGAGACUGGCAAAGAAUGACCCCGGGGACUGAGCAGUGGAUGCAGGUGGAAACAGAGUGCCUCUGAUUUUCCUCUGACCUUCUUGCCUCUCUUCAAAGCCUGCCUGGCCCUCGGAGGCUGCCCAGUGCAUCAUAGUACAUCCCACGGUGGCUCCCCAGAUGGAUUCUGACUCAGCAGCAGACGCAGCAGGGCAGGCAAAAGGAUGUGGGGGAAACCUCACUGUGGCUCAUCACCACGUCCAUCUGCCUCACCAAGUUCCCAGCAAGGAGUCGGCCCUGAUGGGUGUAUUCCUCAGCCACAGCUCCUCAGUGGGCCAGCAAGGUGACUCGAAGGGCCUCUGCCACCUCUAAGAUUGGGGAACAGGAAAGAUGGACCUGGCCCCACCCCAGCCUGCGGGUCACCACCCAUGGCGGGACAAGUGAGAAAAGUUGGCCUUGCUCACCGCUGGAGCCCAAACCACAGGUUUCAUUUCCCCUUGAUAAAGACAAUGUUUGCUAUUGUUGCAUCUGAUGGUAAAAGCAAGUCAUAUUCACUAUCAAAAAGUUUGAAAGGCGGCCGGGCACGGUGGCUCACACUUGUAUUCCCAGCAUUUUGGGAGGCCGAGGCAGGCGGAUCACAAGGUCAAGAGAUCGAGACCAUCCUGUCCAACAUGGUGAAACCCCAUCUCUACUAAAAAUACAAAAAUUAGAUGGGCAUGGUGGCGUGCACCUGUAGUUCCAACUACUUGGGAGGCUGAGGCAAGAGAAUCGCUUGAACCCGGGAGGCAGAGGUUGCUGUGAGCCCCAAGAUUGCACCACUACACUCUAGCCUGGCAACAGAGCGAGACUCCGUCUCAAAAAACAAAAAAAAAAAGGAAAAUAAGAAUCCAGCCUCAAGCCUGUCACCCAGGAACAAUCACUCUAGUUGGCUGGUGUAUUUCCCUCCAGUCUUUUUUUCAGUGUAUGUAUAUAAACUUUAUUUAUAUAUAUUAUUUUAUAGCCAGCUGCUUUUUUUCUUUUAAUUCUAAAUGAUGGGCUGUUUUUUGUUUUAAAACACUGUAGACCAGCCAAGUGUGGUGGCUCAAACCGGUAAUCCCAGCACUUUUGGAGGCUGAGGUGGGCAGAUCACUUGAGCCCAGGAAUUCAAGACCAGCCUGGGCAACAUGGCAAAACCAUGUCUCUACCAAAAAUAAAAAAAUUAGCCAGGCAUGGUUCCAUGCACCUGUAGUCCCUGCAACUUGGGAGGCUGAGAUGGGAGGAUCACCUGAGCCCAGAGAGGUCGAGGCUACAGUGAGCCAUGAUCAUGCCAUCACACUCCAGCCUGGGUGACAAGAGUGAGACCCUGUCUCAAAAACAAACAAACAAACAAACAAAAAAAAACACAGGCUGGGCACAGUGGCUCAUGCCUGUAAUCCCAGCACUUCGGCAGGCCAAGGUAGGUGGAUCACCUGAGGUCAGGAGCUCAAGACCAGCCUGGCCAACAUGGCGAAACCCUGUCUCUACUAAAAAUACAAAAAUUAGCCGGGUGUGGUGGCACACGCCUGUAAUCCCAGCUACUUGGGAGGCUGAGGCAUGAGAAUCGCUUGAACCCGGGAGGUGGAGCUUGCAGCGAGCUGAGAUUGUGCCACUGCACUCCAGCCUGGGCGACAGAGCAAGACUGCAUCUCAAAAGAACAAACAAAAACAAAAACCACUGUAGACCAAGCAAACUCAACUCUUCCUCCUCCCAUGCAGUGCUCCCUCUGCCUGUUUCCCCACAUCACCUGUGUGAUGGGGAGUGGGGGGGCACACAGCGAGGCUGAGGACUCAUGGAAUGACCCUUGGGAAGCCAGAAUGGGCACGGGUACACAUUUCCAAGCAGGAGACUCACUGAUCUACCCACCCCGGGUCCCCAACCACACUGGGAAUCCCCUCCAUGAACGGGAGGAGCCUCUAUCACACACACACACACACACACACACACACACACACACACACACGGAGACCACAGAGAGAACAUGGGCACCGUGGGCAACUGUUUGAAAAUUUCUGAGCUGCUUCUCAGAUAAAGAGAGCACUCUCAUCUUCCUUGUCCUUCUCCAGAAUCAGCAGAAAUCAAGUUUCUCACCUUCCAAGCUCAGCCAAGAAAUUUCAAUUCCAGUGACGACAGAGCUGGUGUGGGGUGGAUGGUUCCCAUGGGAAGGUGUGGGUCACAGGCUGGGCUCUUAGUACUGGGAAAGUCCCUAGGCCAAGUCAGAAUCCCAGGUGUCCUCCCUGAGCACCUGCUGUGUGCAGGAUGCCAUGCCAAACAUUUUAUGAAUUAGUUCAUCCCAUUCUUGUGACACCUCAGCAGGGGAGGUAUCAGUACCCCCAUUUAAUGGAUGAAGAAAUGGAGGCCCUGCAAAAUUAAGCCACAGGCCAACUUCCUCAUGGAUGGAUCAAGCAUCUGAAGCCAAGAGAGUGGACAUGGCCUGUCCAGACUGGGGACCAGCGCAAGGCAAGGUUUAUCCUGCUGGGCCAGGCCCGGCUGCCUCUCUCAGAGGGCACUGGGGAGUUUGCCCUGGACACAGGCUAGGGGCAAAGGCUCACAUGGACAUGUCGAGUCAGCUGCCAGAUCCUGGGCUCUAGGCCUCCCCAACAUCUUCCCAAUGCACCCAGCUGACUCCUGGAGUCCAGAAAGUCCAAACUGUAGAAGGUCACCCCAAGCGCCCUGGGACUUCGCACUCUGCGCUGGCUGACAUGUGGGGCUGGAAUGGCUUCUUCCACUGGGCGUGUAUGUGGGCGUGGGAAUGGACACAUGUGCUCUGUCUCCCGGCCCAACUGUCCAGUCACAGGCGACAGCAUCUGGGUCUGUGGCAAGUUCAGAGCUCCAGACCUGCCUUCCCCACUGAUGCCCUGUGUGACCUGGACCCGGUCUCACUCCCUCCCUGAGUCCCAGUUGUUCUUCUCUUCUGUGGAAUCCUAACCCUGUGAUUCCUGAAGGGGAGGGACAGUAAAGACACAUUUCUUUCUUUUCUUUUUCUUUUUAAGAGAGAAGAUCUGGCGGCCGGGCGUGGUGGCUCAUGCCUAUAAUCCCAGCACUUGGGGAGGCUGAAGCAGGUGGGUCACCUGAGGUCAGGAGUUUGAGACCAGCCUGACCAACAUGGUGAAACUGUGUCUCUACUAAAAAUACAAAAAUCAGCCAGGUGUGGUGGCAGGCACCUGUAGUCCCAGCUACUUGAGAGAUUGAGACAGGAGAAUCACUAGAACCCGGGAGACGGAGGUUGCAGUGAGCCGAGAUCGUGCCACUGUACUCCAGCCUGGGUGACAAAGAGAGACUCUCUCAAAAGAAAAAAAAAAGGAGAAUCUGGCUAUGUUGCACAGGCUGGAGUACAGUGGCUAUUCACAGCACCAUCCCACUACUGAUCAAU
This 15781-nucleotide long non-coding RNA is filed under the name Homo sapiens (human). RNAcentral's name for it is "non-protein coding lnc-BLM-6:5". The record is from RNAcentral. Lineage: Eukaryota; Metazoa; Chordata; Mammalia; Primates; Hominidae.